Cricetulus griseus (Chinese hamster) is the source of this 161-nucleotide small nuclear RNA. Its record names the gene U1. It matches the Rfam family "U1 spliceosomal RNA". From Rfam's summary of the family: U1 is a small nuclear RNA (snRNA) component of the spliceosome (involved in pre-mRNA splicing). Its 5' end forms complementary base pairs with the 5' splice junction, thus defining the 5' donor site of an intron. NCBI's taxonomy places the organism in Eukaryota, Metazoa, Chordata, Mammalia, Rodentia, Cricetidae. The record is from Ensembl.
AUGUUCACUUGCCAGGGCAAUGGCAAGGUCAAGAAGAUGGCGUUCCCAGGGUAAGGCCUGUCUCUUGCAGUCUGAUGUGCUGGCCCUGAGAUUUCCUCACAUCCAGGAAACUCAACUGCAUAAUUUGUGGUAAUAGGGGACUGCACUCAUUUUUCCCCUGU